This 347-nucleotide ribosomal RNA is filed under the name uncultured bacterium. RNAcentral's name for it is "partial 16S ribosomal RNA". It matches the Rfam family "Bacterial small subunit ribosomal RNA", at positions 338 to 682 of the family's 1533-position model. The record is from RNAcentral.
CCUACGGGAGGCAGCAGUGAGGAAUAUUGGUCAAUGGCCGUAAGGCUGAACCAGCCAAGUCGCGUGAAGGAAGAAGGAUCUAUGGUUUGUAAACUUCUUUUAUAGGGGAAUAAAGGGAACCACGUGUGGAUAUUUGCAUGUACCCUAUGAAUAAGCAUCGGCUAACUCCGUGCCAGCAGACGCGGGAAGACGGAGGAUGCGAGCGUUAUCCGGAUUUAUUGGGUUUAAAGGGUGCGUAGGGUUUUUUUUCAGUCAGCGGUGAAAGUUUGUGGCUCAACCAUAAAAUUGCCGUUGAAACUGGCAGACUUGAGUGUGUUUGAGGUAGGCGGACUGCGUUGUGUCGCCGU